CAAAGACUCCCCACCUCCUGGUGUUCACUUUUGUGUCAUCCCCUACCCUCGAGCGUAGGCUCAGUCUAAUAACUUGCCUUUUUUUUUCUUGAGACGAAGUUUUGCUGUUUCAUCCAGGCUGAUCUUGGCUCACUGCAACCUCUGCCCCCCUUAGGUUCAAGCGAUUUUCCUGCCUCAGCCUCCCAAGUGACUGGGAUUACAGGCGUCCACCACCAUGCCCAGCUAAUUUUUGUAUUUUUAGUAGAGACAGGGUUUCACCAUGUUAGCCACGCUGGCCUUGAACUCCUGACCUCAGGUGAUCCACUCACCUCGGCCUCCCGAAGUGCUGGGAUUACAGGUGUGAGCCACCACGACUGGCCAUAACUUGCUUUUUAAUUUUUUUUUUUUUUUAAAGAGAUGGGCGGGGGUAUCACUAUGUUGACCAGGCUGGUCUUGAACUCCUGGCCUCAAGUGACCCUCCCAUCUCAGCCUCCCAAAGGGCUAGGAUUAUAAGCAUGAGCCACUGUGCCUGGCCCUAACUUGUUUUUAACAAAGAGAGCACAGCAAAAAUCACUUCUGUGAUUAGGUUGCAAAAGACUGUGACUUCUGUUUUACUAGCAUUCUCUUCCUGACAGUCUCUCUUGCUCUCUGUAUUAGUCCAGUCUCUCACUGCUAUAAAGAAAUACCUGAGACGGGGUAAUUUAUAAAGAAAAGAGGCCUAAUUGGCUCAUGGUUCUGCACUGUUCUACAGGAAGCAUGAUGCUGGCAUGUGCUUGGCUUCUGGGGAAGCCUCCAGAAACUUACAAUCAUAGUGGAAGGUGAAGGGAGAGCAGGUACCUUACAUGGCAGAAGCGAAGAAGAGCGAACAAGGGGAGAUGCAGGUGCUACACACUUUUAAACAACCUCACGAGAACUCACUGUCACAAGAACAGCACCAAGGGGAUGGUGCCAAACCACUCAUGAGAAAUCUACCCUGAUGAUCCAGUCACCCCCCCACCAGGACCCACCUCCAACACGGGCAUUACCAUUCGACACAAGAUUUGGGCAGGGAUACAGAUCUAAACCAUAUCACUCCCCUACUUGUUCAUCUGAUGAAGCACACUGCCAUGUUGUGAGAUGCUCUAUGGAGAAGCUUCUGGACAUCAGCUUAUGAGGAACUGAGGCCUCAAUCUAAUAGCCUGAGAGGAACCAAAUCCAGCCAAUAACCACGAGUGAACUAGGAAGUGAAUCUCUGAGAUGACUGCAGCCUUGUGAGAAACACAGAAUCAGAGGACCCAGCUAAGCUGCACUGAUUCCUGACCCACAAAAACUUAAAUAAGAUAAUGUCUUCAUAUGUCACCCAGUUUGGGGUGCAGUGACACAAUCAUAGCUUACCGCAGCCUCAAACUCCUGGGCUCAAGUGAUCUUCCUGCCUCAGCCUCCUGAGCAGAUCAAGAUAUAAACAGGUAAAAAUUGAUAAAUCUUAACUCUUAUUCUUAUCUGUAUCUUUCCCUAUCAGUAAUCCCUUCUAGUUUCCGCUGUAUCCUUCCAGUGUUUAUGCAAACACUAGACAAGCAAGCAUAAACAUACACACUCUCUCUCUUAAUUUCUACAUUUUAAUAUAAGAAGUCUGUGCUUACUUUUUUUUCUGAGACAGAGUUUUGUUCUUGUUGCCCAGGCUGGAGUGUAUUGGCGCGAUCUUGGCUCACCACAACCUCCACCUCUUGGGUUCAAGCAAUUCUCCUGCCUCAGCCUCCCGAGUAGCUAGGAUUACAGGCAUGUGCCACCACGCCCGGCUAAUUUUGUAUUUUUAGUAAAGAUGGGGUUUCUCCAUGUUGGUCAGGCUGGUCUUGAACUCCUGACCUCAGAUGAUCCACUGGCCUCGGCCUCCCAAAGUGUUGGGAUUACAGAUGUGAGCCACCGUGCCCAGCCUUUUUCUUUUUUGAGACAGAAUCUUGCUCUGUCGCCCAGGCUGGAGUGCAGUGGCAUGAUCCUG
RNAcentral lists this long non-coding RNA (1954 nucleotides) under Homo sapiens (human). RNAcentral describes it as "PREDICTED lncRNA (TCONS_00227993)". Lineage: Eukaryota; Metazoa; Chordata; Mammalia; Primates; Hominidae. The record is from RNAcentral.